RNAcentral lists this ribosomal RNA (376 nucleotides) under Fusobacterium sp. oral taxon A11. Its description in RNAcentral is "bacterial SSU rRNA". It matches the Rfam family "Bacterial small subunit ribosomal RNA", at positions 28 to 398 of the family's 1533-position model. The record is from RNAcentral. Lineage: Bacteria; Fusobacteriati; Fusobacteriota; Fusobacteriia; Fusobacteriales; Fusobacteriaceae.
GAUGAACGCUGACAGAAUGCUUAACACAUGCAAGUCAACUUGAAUUUGGGUUUUUUAACUUAGAUUUGGGUGGCGGACGGGUGAGUAACGCGUAAAGAACUUGCCUCACAGCUAGGGACAACAUUUGGAAACGAAUGCUAAUACCUGAUAUUAUGAUUUUAAGGCAUCUUAGAAUUAUGAAAGCUAUACGCGCUGUGAGAGAGCUUUGCGUCCCAUUAGCUAGUUGGAGAGGUAACGGCUCACCAAGGCGAUGAUGGGUAGCCGGCCUGAGAGGGUGAACGGCCACAAGGGGACUGAGACACGGCCCUUACUCCUACGGGAGGCAGCAGUGGGGAAUAUUGGACAAUGGACCCAAGAGUCUGAUCCCAGCAAUUUC